UACGAAGGGGGCUAGCGUUGCUCGGAAUCACUGGGCGUAGAGCGCACGUAGGCGGCUUUUUAAGUCAGGGGUGAAAUCCUGGAGCUCAACUCCAGAACUGCCUUUGAUACUGGGAAGCUCGAGUCCGGGAGAGGUGAGUGGAACUCCGAGUGUAGAGGUGAAAUUCGUAGAUAUUCGGAAGAACACCAGUGGCGAAGGCGGCUCACUGGCCCGGUACUGACGCUGAGGUGCGAAAGCGUGGGGAGCAAACAGG
Molecule: ribosomal RNA, 253 nt
Filed under: uncultured bacterium
Lineage: Bacteria
Description: partial 16S ribosomal RNA
Rfam family: Bacterial small subunit ribosomal RNA
Source: RNAcentral